RNAcentral lists this long non-coding RNA (1988 nucleotides) under Homo sapiens (human). RNAcentral's name for it is "non-protein coding lnc-TEPSIN-1:1". Lineage: Eukaryota; Metazoa; Chordata; Mammalia; Primates; Hominidae. The record is from RNAcentral.
CAGGCUGGUCUCUAACUCCUGGGCUCAAGCGAUCUGCCUGCCUCCGCCUCCCAAAUUGCUGGGAUUACAGGCGUGAGCCGCCGUGCCCAGGCUUAUUUUCUUACGUGCUUGUCCUAGAACAACUGAAUGUGUAAAGUGGAAAAAACAAAAACAAAACCCCACCCAGCCCAGAUAACCAUCUCUGACAUUCUGGCACAUUCCUUUUGACUGUUGCUCUGGACACUCACUUCCAUGGGCAACGAGCAGGCUUGCUGGGGUCCUGCCGGGUGCGCCUGGGGCACAGCCAGUGGGAGAACUGAUGCGGCACAGUGGCUGGCUGUGCGGGAGAGGCCAUCCCGGGUGGGCUUCCAGGGGCAGUCAGGGCGCAGCCUCUCCCGGGCCCUCAGGCCUGCGUGCAUCACUGAGCUGUCCGGGCUUCACGGUCACAGUCAUGAUGGGUGUCACCAGUGGCCAGUGUUCGGGCACACUCCCUGCAGGUGACCUGUGCGUUGCCUUGCUGUGGGCCGCGCCGUCCCUGGCCCAGCACGGUGCAUGAGCAGCCCGGGCACUCUGACUGUGUGCUUUCCAAACCCAGAAGCUGGCAGGGCGGAGAUGCUGGACCACGCCGUCCUGCUUCAGGUGAUCAAAGAACAGCAGGUGCAGCAAAAGCGCUUGCUGGACCAGCAGGAGAAGCUGCUGGCGGUGAUCGAGGAGCAGCACAAGGAGAUCCACCAGCAGAGGCAGGAGGACGAGGAGGAUAAACCCAGGCAGGGAAAAAACCUGGGAAGGAGGUGGCAGCCACUGGCACCAGCAUUCUGAAGGAAGCCAACUGGCUCGUGGCAGGGCCAGGAGCAGAGACGGGGGACCCUCGCAUGAAGCCCAAGCAAGUGAGCCGAGACCUGGGCCUUGCAGCGGACCUGCCCGGUGGGGCGGAAGGAGCAGCUGCACAGCCCCAGGCUGUGUUACGCCAGCCGGAACUGCGGGUCAUCUCUGAUGGCGAGCAGGGUGGACAGCAGGGCCACCGGCUGGACCAUGGCGGUCACCUGGAGAUGAGAAAGGCCCGCGGGGGGGACCAUGUGCCUGUGUCCCACGAGCAGCCGAGAGGCGGGGAGGACGCUGCUGUCCAGGAGCCCAGGCAGAGGCCAGAGCCAGAGCUGGGGCUCAAACGAGCUGUCCCGGGGGGCCAGAGGCCGGACAAUGCCAAGCCCAACCGGGACCUGAAACUGCAGGCUGGCUCCGACCUCCGGAGGCGACGGCGGGACCUUGGCCCUCAUGCAGAGGGUCAGCUGGCCCCGAGGGAUGGGGUCAUCAUUGGCCUUAACCCCCUGCCUGAUGUCCAGGUGAACGACCUCCGUGGCGCCCUGGAUGCCCAGCUCCGCCAGGCUGCGGGGGGAGCUCUGCAGGUGGUCCACAGCCGGCAGCUUAGACAGGCGCCUGGGCCUCCAGAGGAGUCCUAGCACCUGCUGGCCAUGAGGGCCACGCCAGCCACUGCCCUCCUCGGCCAGCAGCAGGUCUGUCUCAGCCGCAUCCCAGCCAAACUCUGGAGGUCACACUCGCCUCUCCCCAGGGUUUCAUGUCUGAGGCCCUCACCAAGUGUGAGUGACAGUAUAAAAGAUUCACUGUGGCAUCGUUUCCAGAAUGUUCUUGCUGUCGUUCUGUUGCAGCUCUUAGUCUGAGGUCCUCUGACCUCUAGACUCUGAGCUCACUCCAGCCUGUGAGGAGAAACGGCCUCCGCUGCGAGCUGGCUGGUGCACUCCCAGGCUCAGGCUGGGGAGCUGCUGCGUCUGUGGUCAGGCCUCCUGCUCCUGCCAGGGAGCACGCGUGGUCUUCGGGUUGAGCUCGGCCGUGCGUGGAGGUGCGCAUGGCUGCUCAUGGUCCCAACACAGGCUACUGUGAGAGCCAGCAUCCAACCCCACGCUUGCAGUGACUCAGAAUGAUAAUUAUUAUGACUGUUUAUCGAUGCUUCCCACAGUGUGGUAGAAAGUCUUGAAUAAACACUUUUGCCUUCA